Molecule: small nuclear RNA, 107 nt
Filed under: Salvator merianae (Argentine black and white tegu)
Lineage: Eukaryota; Metazoa; Chordata; Lepidosauria; Squamata; Teiidae
Source: RNAcentral
GUGCUGGCUUUGGCAGCACAUAUACUAAAAUUGGAAUGAUAAAGAGAAGAUUAGCAUGGCUGCUGUGCAAGGAUGACAUUCAAAUUCAUGAAGCCUUCAAUAAUUGC